RNAcentral lists this ribosomal RNA (274 nucleotides) under uncultured bacterium. RNAcentral describes it as "partial 16S ribosomal RNA". It matches the Rfam family "Archaeal small subunit ribosomal RNA", at positions 473 to 747 of the family's 1478-position model. The record is from RNAcentral.
AAACCAGCACCUCAAGUGGUCAGGAUGAUUAUUGGGCCUAAAGCAUCCGUAGCCUGAUCUGUAAGUUUUCGGUUAAAUCUGUACGCUCAACGUACAGGCUGCCGGGAAUACUGCAGAUCUAGGGAGUGGGAGAGGUAGACGGUACUCGGGAGGAAGUGGUAAAAUGCUUUGAUCUCUCGAUGACCACCUGUGGCGAAGGCGGUCUACCAGAACACGUCCGACGGUGAGGGAUGAAAGCUGGGGGAGCAAACCGGAUUAGAAACCCCGGUAGUCC